GAUGAACGCUGGCGGCGUGCCUAAUACAUGCAAGUCGAGCGAAUGGAGGGAGAGCUUGCUCUUAUGAAGUUAGCGGCGGACGGGUGAGUAACACGUGGGUAACCUGCCCAUAAGACUGGGAUAACUCCGGGAAACCGGGGCUAAUACCGGAUAACAUUUUGAACCGCAUGGUUCGAAAUUGAAAGGCGGCUUCGGCUGUCACUUAUGGAUGGACCCGCGUCGCAUUAGCUAGUUGGUGAGGUAACGGCUCACCAAGGCAACGAUGCGUAGCCGACCUGAGAGGGUGAUCGGCCACACUGGGACUGAGACACGGCCCAGACUCCUACGGGAGGCAGCAGUAGGGAAUCUUCCGCAAUGGACGAAAGUCUGACGGAGCAACGCCGCGUGAGUGAUGAAGGCUUUCGGGUCGUAAAACUCUGUUGUUAGGGAAGAACAAGUGCUAGUUGAAUGAGCUGGCACCUUGACGGUACCUAACCAGAAAGCCACGGCUAACUACGUGCCAGCCGCCGCAGUAA
Molecule: ribosomal RNA, 515 nt
Filed under: uncultured bacterium
Lineage: Bacteria
Description: partial 16S ribosomal RNA
Rfam family: Bacterial small subunit ribosomal RNA
Source: RNAcentral